This is a long non-coding RNA of Nerophis ophidion (straightnose pipefish), 2164 nucleotides long. RefSeq lists it as uncharacterized. Lineage: Eukaryota; Metazoa; Chordata; Actinopteri; Syngnathiformes; Syngnathidae. The transcript is spliced from 3 exons. The record is from RefSeq and is a predicted model, not a curated record.
GUUCCACACUCCCAGCCUGUCUCACCUUGUAGAUGACUUUGGGCUCAAAGGAGCAGACGAUGCUGCAGUUGUACAGGACCGAGUGCUUCUUGUGCAAAGCUGAAAGAGCUGCUGCGGCCUGCCAAGGAAUGGACAGCCACGUGGUUAUUACAGUGUUUGGCUGCUGCAUCUGGCAGCCAGCUGGGGCCUGUCCAUCCAGGUCGGAACCUGCUACGUCCUGGGUCCUUUCCAUCCGGCGCCGAGGGCUACUACAGUGCUGUCGAGCGUCAUGAGCCGUGGUUUUGGUCCGGCGUUGUGUCCUGCUUCUUCUGCCAACCUGUUGGGGACCACCGCGUCGAUCCACCUGCCUGACCCGGUAGCCCUGGAGCCGUCAGCCAAUAUGGUGUCCUGGAUCAGAGUCGGUCUUGUGACCAGCAGUUCCUGUGUACCUGCUCUCGCCGUGGGGCCACCGCAUUGAUACAUCUGCUUGGACCGGGAACUGCCGUCGACUCCCCUGAGACACUGCGUGUCAACACCCGGCCGUGGACACACCCCUCCGACUAUCAGGUAAUAUUAAACUCACUAAAACACUAGCAACACAAUAGAAAGAUAAGGGAUUUCCCGGGAUUAUCCUAGUAAAUGUGUUUAAAAACAGCGGAAUACGUCCCAAUGCUAUCGCGUUUUUUUUUUAAACUCGUUUUUUUUCCUAGUCCGUCGCUAUCAAUAUCCUCAAACACAAAUCUUUCAUCCUCGCUCAAAUUAAUGGGGAAAUUGUCGUUUUCUCGGUCCGAAUAACUGUUUUUGUUGGAGACUCCCAUUAAAAUCAAUGUGAAUAUAUGAGGAGCCAUCAACAUGUGACGUGAUCGUCUGCGACUUCCGGUAAAGGGAGGCUUUUUCAGGAAGUACCAAAAGUGGCAAACUUUAUUAUCGAUUUUCUCUACUAAAUCCUUUCAGCAAAAAUAUGGCAAUAUCGCAAAAUGAUCAAGUAUGACACAUAAAAUGGACCUGGACCUGCUAUUCCUGUUUAAAUAAGAAAAUCUCAUUUCAGUAGGCCUUUAAGUGCUUGAGUACCACUCGUCAUUUGGAAGGUAGAUCUGGACUUGGCAUUAUUCACCUAAAUGUUAGAGGUCUACUUCCCAAACUGGAUCUAGUGAGGAUCUGGGCUAAAUAUACUGAAACAAACAUACUUGUCUUGUCUGAAACCUGGCUUAGGAAAUCAAUCACGGAUAAAGAUAUUGCAAUUAAGGGCUAUAAUGUUUUUUGCUGUACCGUCCUAGAAAAGGUGGCGGAAUUGCAACAAGUGGAUUCACGCUAGGGCUGGGCGAUAUGGCCUUUUAUUAAAAUCUCAAUAUUUUUAGGUCAUGUCACGAUACACGAUAUAUAUCUCGAUAUUUUGCCUUAGCCUUGAAUUAACACUUGAUGCAUAUAAUCACAGAAGUAUGAUGAUUCUAUGUGUCUACAUUAAAACAUUCUUGUUCAUAUUGCAUUAAUAUAUGCUCAUUUUAAACUUUCAUGCAAAGAGGGAAAUCACAACUCAGUCAGUUGACCAUAACUGUAUUUAUUAAACAGUUAUUAAGCAGUGGCACAAACAUUCAUGUCAUUUCCAAAACAAAGUGCAAGAUUGUCAGAGACAUUUUAAAACAAGCUAUUAGUGCACUUUUGUGCAUGAUGUCUCUAAGAUGACGUAUCGAAACAACACUAAAAGAGCACUUUUUGUACAGAACGCCACUACAAUAGUUUAAAACAAAUAAAGUGCACUUUGGUGCAUGAUGUCACAUAAGAUAUUUCAAUAAGUGUCAAAUAAAAAUUAGCUGCAUAAUAGGAAAUCAAAUAGUUUAUGUCCUUCGCUAUGUGGUAGGUUACUGUGGACGUUAUCUCCUUCUGUUGUUGACUAUUUGUUUCAUACUGUGUUGAUCUGGAAAUGGUUUCUUGGUCAUUUUGUGGGAGUGGCACCGAACGGAGAUGUUGACAUGCAGAGUUUCAAGCACUCCUUAUUCUCUAGUAGGUGACUUUUCAAGUGAAGCUACAAAUUAGCGGUAAGGCUUUUGACUACUUGACAUAUUACGGUUGCAUAUUGCAAUAUCUUUAUCCGUGACAACAUCUUCCCGCUUGAGGCCAAUCCACCGCCAGACGAUGGACCCUGUACUCUGUUUCUUGGGAAUUAAUUCUUCUUCCUUCAUUUGUU